GUGUUUGAUUAAAGGAGAGUUGGUUGGCAUCUCCUCUUACAGGGUUGGGAACAGUCUACAGGCUUCCUUGUUUAACAUAUACGGAUAAGGGGUUUAUGUCAAAUACCAGUUUGUAGAUAAAAAUAUGAUAUCAUGCAUGGUAUUUU
Molecule: small nuclear RNA, 146 nt
Organism: Cucurbita maxima (winter squash)
Lineage: Eukaryota; Viridiplantae; Streptophyta; Magnoliopsida; Cucurbitales; Cucurbitaceae
Source: RefSeq, a predicted model, not a curated record